CAAGUCGAGGGGCAUCAGUUUGGUUUGCUUGCAAACCAAAGCUGGCGACCGGCGCACGGGUGAGUAACACGUAUCCAACCUGCCGAUGACUCGGGGAUAGCCUUUCGAAAGAAAGAUUAAUACCCGAUGGCAUAGUUCUUCCGCAUGGUAGAACUAUUAAAGAAUUUCGGUCAUCGAUGGGGAUGCGUUCCAUUAGGCAGUUGGCGGGGUAACGGCCCACCAAACCUACGAUCGGUAGGGGUUCUGAGAGGAAGGUCCCCACACUGGUACUGAGACACGGACCAGACUCC
This 290-nucleotide ribosomal RNA is filed under the name uncultured Bacteroides sp. RNAcentral's name for it is "partial 16S ribosomal RNA". It matches the Rfam family "Bacterial small subunit ribosomal RNA", at positions 58 to 339 of the family's 1533-position model. The record is from RNAcentral. Lineage: Bacteria; Pseudomonadati; Bacteroidota; Bacteroidia; Bacteroidales; Bacteroidaceae.